RNAcentral lists this ribosomal RNA (253 nucleotides) under uncultured bacterium. RNAcentral's name for it is "partial 16S ribosomal RNA". It matches the Rfam family "Bacterial small subunit ribosomal RNA", at positions 524 to 776 of the family's 1533-position model. The record is from RNAcentral.
UACGGAGGGUGCAAGCGUUAUCCGGAUUCACUGGGUUUAAAGGGUGCGUAGGUGGGCAAGUAAGUCAGUGGUGAAAUCUCCGGGCUUAACCCGGAAACUGCCAUUGAUACUAUCUGUCUUGAAUAUCCUGGAGGUGAGCGGAAUAUGUCAUGUAGCGGUGAAAUGCUUAGAUAUGACAUAGAACACCCAUUGCGAAGGCAGCUCACUACGGGAUCAUUGACACUGAGGCACGAAGGCGUGGGGAGCAAACAGG